UGGGGAAUUUUGGACAAUGGGGGAAACCCUGAUCCAGCCAUCCCGCGUGUGCGAUGAAGGCCUUCGGGUUGUAAAGCACUUUUGGCAGGAAAGAAACGUCAUGGGUUAAUACCCCGUGAAACUGACGGUACCUGCAGAAUAAGCACCGGCUAACUACGUGCCAGCAGCCGCGGUAAUACGUAGGGUGCAAGCGUUAAUCGGAAUUACUGGGCGUAAAGCGUGCGCAGGCGGUUCGGAAAGAAAGAUGUGAAAUCCCAGAGCUCAACUUUGGAACUGCAUUUUUAACUACCGGGCCAGAGUGUGUCAGAGGGAGGUGGAAUUCCGCGUGUAGCAGUGAAAUGCGUAGAUAUGCGGAGGAACACCGAUGGCGAAGGCAGCCUCCUGGGAUAACACUGACGCUCAUGCACGAAAGCGUGGGGAGCAAACAGG
RNAcentral lists this ribosomal RNA (429 nucleotides) under Acidobacteriota bacterium. Its description in RNAcentral is "Acidobacteria bacterium partial 16S ribosomal RNA". It matches the Rfam family "Bacterial small subunit ribosomal RNA", at positions 355 to 776 of the family's 1533-position model. The record is from RNAcentral. Lineage: Bacteria; Pseudomonadati; Acidobacteriota.